This 80-nucleotide non-coding RNA is filed under the name unclassified sequences. Its description in RNAcentral is "S15-Methanomicrobia ribosomal protein leader". It matches the Rfam family "S15-Methanomicrobia ribosomal protein leader". The record is from RNAcentral.
AGCACUUUUCGUGAUGAAAGUGCUGGCAUAUGUAAAUCCGACGUGCAUCCCAUGCACGGCCCGCAGUGGCUGGGGAUUAC